Lolium perenne is the source of this 2457-nucleotide non-coding RNA. Lineage: Eukaryota; Viridiplantae; Streptophyta; Magnoliopsida; Poales; Poaceae. The record is from RefSeq and is a predicted model, not a curated record.
GUGCUUUCCGCCGCUGCUUCGCCUCUUCAUCCUCUGCAUCUAAAGGUGGAGCACGUGCUGAUGAACAAGGACAACGAGCCAGGGUGUUUGACGAAAAUCCUUGAGGGAAACAUUAUAGGUGUUCGACAAUGAGGAACAGGAUGGGAUGGGGAAGAAGGGAUGUGCCCGCAGCGAUGAGGAUUUGGAGGAUGCGAAGAUGGCUUCUUCUUCAUCCGGGACUUGCAGGUUUCUCCUCUCUCUCUCUCUCUCUCUCUCUCUCUCUCUCUCUCUCUCACUGGAUCACCUCCUUCCCGAUGAACUAAUUUGAUGCAGAUGUUUGUAUCAUAGGUCGGAGAUGUGUGUGAAGGUGUUGAUUUUGCAGAUAUUUGGUUGUAGCUUUGUCUUGUGAUUACCCGUUUGCACUUGGGCAGAAGUAUGAGGAAUUAUGUCAGUGGUUUGCUUGCUAACAGACUGGAAGACCGAGGCUGAUGUGAGCUGGCAAUGGUGGAGGUUCAAGAGGAGCGCGACGUCGUAUCCUCUGCUGUCACCAUCGCCAUACUUCUCAGGUACAUGGAUGUGAGUGCAUUCAAACAGUAUUGAGGUUCCUCUCUUGCUGCUACUCCACCUUGAGGAGCGCCGUCUUGGUAACCGGACGGUCAUCCUCAUGUCGACAUGGUUGCGUGUAUAUUUGGUUACCUUUUUCUCAGCAGCUUAGUAAAUGAGAGAAACGGAGGUCUACACAGCGGCAAGGCCGAGUUGAAACUUCUGUAAGAUUUCUAUUGUGUGUGCUUGCUUUCCUGACAUUAGUUCAUAUUGUGUGUGCUUGGUUUGACCUCAGCAAUGGUGCUAAAAUUAAAUACAGCAGAAGUUCAUAAUUAUUGACAUAACAAUGGGUCAAUCUUCGAUGUCAUUGAUCUCAUUUUCCUCAAAUUUAUGCACACUGAAGAUGGAGUUGUUUUGCUCUGUACAUGUGAUCCGGAUAUUGCAGAAAGAUUUUUCACACAACGAGGACGUUUCUUUAGAUGUUCAAUAAUGUAUGCUUAUGUUCAAAAGUUAGUUAUGAUGUGUGGUGUGUGUGUGUGGCGAAGUAAUUAUCCAGCUGUAGUAAUUAGUAACCCGUUGUUAUCUACAACUUCCCGUUUGGUAGAAGUCAUUUUAGUUACUUGCUAAAACUGUAUGAGGACUGACUGAGUUGUCUUUUAUCUAUUCAGCAAAUUUAUAGAUUGGAUUAGGCUCAUAUGCUUAAGCCAAGCUCAGGUUCAAGUGUGCUUCUCAUCUAAACAAGAGGUCCAUUGAUGUUGUCAAAAUUUAGGGCAAUUGUGUAUCCUUUACAUUCCAGUAUGGAGUUACUUAAAUUCAGUAUAAAAGAUACUUGGAGUGGGGAGGAACUUGAGCGAGUAUACGGUAAAAAUAAUUUAGGUCGUAAUAUUGUUGAAGAUUGUUGCACAAAGGUUUCUUCUAUUUCUCUGCUAGAUUUGUGAGUCUGCUCUCUUGCAGGUAAGAUUUUGUCUUUGAAAUGGAUGUUUCGAGGAUUAUGUUCUGCUACAUGUAUUGCCCUCAUAUUUUUCCUCUUAAGAGAAGGACAGUAAGAUAACAUUCAUCUGUGGUUUCAUGUACAAGAUGGAUUCUGUGUAUGGAUACUAUAGGAAUUUGCGGACUCGAGCUAUGUGUAGUCUUUAUUUGGAAAUUAUAUAUUUUUAUAUUUUCCUUUUCCAUUAUGAUUUUUUUCUAGCUGAAAGAUCGCUUAUGUUUUGGUUUGAUAUACAGGAUGCAUGGUGUUCUUUUGCUCAUCGGCUGAUAACUCUUCUGUGUACCCAAAAAACAUUUCGUUAGCAAUUGGCAAAUGUAGCUUUCUACAUUUUUAUCGCAUCUGCUAAAAGCUGGUCAAAUUUAAAUGAAUUUUGUGCUCUCAACUGCAUAUGACACUUGCUUUGUUUCAUACAAAUUAUUGUUUUUUGGCAAAAUGUUCUACACAGCCGUAAAUUAUAUUAGCAUGUUCAUGACCAUGCGAGCUCAUACAAAUUAUUGUUUUUGCCAAAAUGUUCUACACAGCCGUAAAGUAUAUUAGCAUGUUCAUGACUAUGUGAGCUAUAAUAAUACUUCUAUAACAGUAGAAACAUCUUAUUUACGUCUCAUAAGUAGGCUUGUUGCUGAAGCAAAGGAGGAUUUAACUGUUCAGUGUAUAAUCAUUGGUUAUACAUGCUAAGAUUCUAGAGAUUGAACUCUUUGCUGGUGCUAUCAGGGAGGGAGGCAUACAAAAAAUGCAGUGCUAGCAGGAUCCAAUGCACUCCCCUCCUCCAAUAAGUCCCGGUACCAAGCAUAUGGAGGAUGAGCACCGAGUGUUGCCCUCGGGUCAAGGGGAGGUUCGUCAGUUAGGCUUCGCUUCUGUAGAAUGCCGUGAAGAAAGAGCUUGGGGAAGAUAGUCUUGCACCCAUGGUCAUUUUUUUUGGAUUUCACUCUCUCUCUAACUGAAACUCA